UUCAGCCACUAUACGAAACCUAUAUAUAGGUUAUGACUAUGUCUUUAACUUCCAAGUUCCUGUUUUGUGUAUCGAGUUUCUUGUAUAUCCUUUGCCGACAUGAUAGUUUCAGCAAAUACAGAACUAAUGUUUUACCAAAAAAAAUGUGAAUGAAUACACAAUCCAUUUGAAGAAAACUAAUUUUAGGGGAAUUACGUUACUGUUAACUGUAAGUCCAAGCUAAACUAUAAUUUAUAAGUUCCG
This is a non-coding RNA of Paramuricea clavata, 243 nucleotides long. The record is from the annotation of a GenBank genome assembly. Lineage: Eukaryota; Metazoa; Cnidaria; Anthozoa; Malacalcyonacea; Plexauridae.